CAGUUGUCCUGCCAAGGGCAUGGCUGGGUAGCUAUGUACGGAAUGGAUAAGCGCUGAAAGCAUCUAAGCGCGAAGCCAACUUCAAGAUAAGAUUUCCCACCGCAAGGGUAAGACCCCAGAAAGACUAUCUGGUUGAUAGGUCGAAGGUGUAAGUGCAGCAAUGUAUUUAGCUUAUCGAUACUAAUAGGUCGAGGACUUGACCAAU
Molecule: ribosomal RNA, 205 nt
Filed under: Clostridioides difficile
Lineage: Bacteria; Bacillati; Bacillota; Clostridia; Peptostreptococcales; Peptostreptococcaceae
Description: partial 23S ribosomal RNA
Rfam family: Bacterial large subunit ribosomal RNA
Source: RNAcentral